This 305-nucleotide ribosomal RNA is filed under the name uncultured bacterium. RNAcentral's name for it is "bacterial SSU rRNA". It matches the Rfam family "Bacterial small subunit ribosomal RNA", at positions 335 to 639 of the family's 1533-position model. The record is from RNAcentral.
GCCCUACGGGGGGCAGCAGUGAGGAAUAUUGGUCAAUGGGCGGGAGCCUGAACCAGCCAAGCCGCGUGAAGGAAGAAGGCGCCAGGCGUCGUAAACUUCUUUUGUCGGGGAACAAAGGGCGCCACGCGUGGCGUUGUGAGUGUACCCGAAGAAAAAGCAUCGGCUAACUCCCUGCCAGCAGCCGCAGUAAUACGGAGGAUGCGAGCGUUAUCCGGAUUUAUUGGGUUUAAAGGGUGCGUAGGCGGAUCGUUAAGUCAGUGGUCAAAUUGAGGGGCUCAACCCCUUCCCGCCAUUGAAACUGGCGC